GGAAGUGGGCGGUGGCUGGUGCCAUCCGCGGUCUUCAAAACCGUGGGUUUCAGAGGUGCUCUGGAACGGUGGGUUCGAUUCCUGCGCACUUCCGCCA
Molecule: transfer RNA, 97 nt
Filed under: Sulfidibacter corallicola
Lineage: Bacteria; Pseudomonadati; Acidobacteriota; Holophagae; Acanthopleuribacterales; Acanthopleuribacteraceae
Description: Acanthopleuribacteraceae bacterium M133 tRNA-Sec
Rfam family: Selenocysteine transfer RNA
Source: RNAcentral